GAUGAAGAACGUAGCGAAAUGCGAUAAGUAAUGUGAAUUGCAGAAUUCAGUGAAUCAUCGAAUCUUUGAACGCACAUUGCGCCCGCCAGUAUUCUGGCGGGCAUGCCUGUCCGAGCGUCAUUUCAACCCUCGAACCCCUCCGGGGGGUCGGCGUUGGGGAUCGGGAACCCCUAAGACGGGAUCCCGGCCCCGAAAUACAGUGGCGGUCUCGCCGCAGCCUCUCCUGCGCAGUAGUUUGCACAACUCGCACCGGGAGCGCGGCGCGUCCACGUCCGUAAAACACCCAACUUCUGAAAUGUUGACCUCGGAUCAGGUAGGACUACCCGCUGAACUUAAGCAUAUCAAUAAGCGGAGGA
Molecule: unclassified non-coding RNA, 356 nt
Filed under: soil metagenome
Description: partial contains 5.8S ribosomal RNA, internal transcribed spacer 2, and large subunit ribosomal RNA
Rfam family: 5.8S ribosomal RNA (bases 1-120)
Source: RNAcentral